GCAGUCGAGCGGACUUCUUAAAGCUUGCUUUUAAGAAGUCAGCGGCGGACGGGUGAGUAACACGUGGGCAACCUGCCUGUAAGACUGGGAUAACUUCGGGAAACCGGAGCUAAUACCGGAUAAUAUAAAGAACCUCCUGGUUCUUUAUUGAAAGAUGGUUUCGGCUAUCACUUACAGAUGGGCCCGCGGCGCAUUAGCUAGUUGGUGAGGUAAUGGCUCACCAAGGCGACGAUGCGUAGCCGACCUGAGAGGGUGAUCGGCCACACUGGGACUGAGACACGGCCCAGACUCCUACGGGAGGCAGCAGUAGGGAAUCUUCCACAAUGGACGAAAGUCUGAUGGAGCAACGCCGCGUGAGCGAUGAAGGCCUUCGGGUCGUAAAGCUCUGUUGUUAGGGAAGAACAAGUGCGAGAGUAACUGCUCGCACCUUGACGGUACCUAACCAGAAAGCCACGGCUAACUACGUGCCAGCAGCCGCGGUAAUACGUAGGUGGCAAGCGUUGUCCGGAAUUAUUGGGCGUAAAGCGCGCGCAGGUGGUCCUUUAAGUCUGAUGUGAAAGCCCACGGCUCAACCGUGGAGGGUCAUUGGAAACUGGGGGACUUGAGUGCAGAAGAGGAAAGUGGAAUUCCAAGUGUAGCGGUGAAAUGCGUAGAGAUUUGGAGGACACCAGUGGCG
RNAcentral lists this ribosomal RNA (676 nucleotides) under bacterium SL2.41. RNAcentral's name for it is "bacterial SSU rRNA". It matches the Rfam family "Bacterial small subunit ribosomal RNA", at positions 57 to 717 of the family's 1533-position model. The record is from RNAcentral.